This 325-nucleotide ribosomal RNA is filed under the name uncultured eukaryote. RNAcentral's name for it is "partial 18S ribosomal RNA". It matches the Rfam family "Eukaryotic small subunit ribosomal RNA", at positions 1470 to 1796 of the family's 1831-position model. The record is from RNAcentral.
CCCUUAGAUGUUCUGGGCCGCACGCGCGCCACACUGACUGGUGCAACAAGUGUCGCUCCUUGGCCGAUAGGCCUGGGCAAUCUUUGAACGCCAGUCGUGAUGGGGAUAGAUUCUUGCAAUUUUUGAUCUUCAACGAGGAAUUCCUAGUAAACGCGAGUCAUCAACUCGCAUUGAUUACGUCCCUGCCCUUUGUACACACCGCCCGUCGCACCUACCGAUUGAAUGGUCCGGUGAACCCUCCGGAUCGGCUCGCGCCAACGCAAGUUGAGCAAAGGCCGAGAAGUUGGGUAAACCUUACCAUUUAGGGGAAGGUGAAGUCGUAACA